UAGGGAAUAUUGGACAAUGGGUGAGAGCCUGAUCCAGCCAUGCCGCGUGCAGGAAGAAGGCGUUAUGCGUUGUAAACUGCUUUUGCCAGGGGAUAAAAAGACCGUGCGCGGUUAAUUGAAGGUACCUGGUGAAUAAGCCACGGCUAACUACGUGCCAGCAGCCGCGGUAAUACGUAGGUGGCAAGCGUUGUCCGGAUUUAUUGGGUUUAAAGGGUGCGUAGGUGGCCCUGUAAGUCAGUGGUGAAAUAUCUCAGCUUAACUGAGAGGGUGCCAUUGAUACUGCAGGGCUAGAGUGUGUCAGAGGGAGGUGGAAUUCCGCGUGUAGCAGUGAAAUGCGUAGAUAUGCGGAGGAACACCGAUGGCGAAGGCAGCCUCCUGGGAUAACACUGACGCUCAUGCACGAAAGCGUGGGGAGCAAACAGGAUUAGAUACCCUGGUAGUCCCUGAGCGGGCUGGCAAGGCGCAU
This 466-nucleotide ribosomal RNA is filed under the name uncultured bacterium. RNAcentral describes it as "bacterial SSU rRNA". It matches the Rfam family "Bacterial small subunit ribosomal RNA", at positions 355 to 825 of the family's 1533-position model. The record is from RNAcentral.